GCCUGAGUGGCGCAGUGGUUAACGCGUCUGUCUUGUAAACAGAAGACUCCUGGGUUCAAAUCCCAGCUUGGGCU
Molecule: transfer RNA, 74 nt
Filed under: Trichosporon asahii var. asahii CBS 8904
Lineage: Eukaryota; Fungi; Basidiomycota; Tremellomycetes; Trichosporonales; Trichosporonaceae
Description: tRNA-Thr (TGT) (tRNA-Thr-TGT-2-1)
Rfam family: tRNA
About the family: Transfer RNA (tRNA) molecules are approximately 80 nucleotides in length. Their secondary structure includes four short double-helical elements and three loops (D, anti-codon, and T loops).
Source: RNAcentral